This 376-nucleotide ribosomal RNA is filed under the name Firmicutes bacterium W-2017. RNAcentral describes it as "bacterial SSU rRNA". It matches the Rfam family "Bacterial small subunit ribosomal RNA", at positions 1131 to 1506 of the family's 1533-position model. Lineage: Bacteria; Bacillati; Bacillota. The record is from RNAcentral.
UUGGGCACUCUAAGGUGACUGCCGGUGACAAACCGGAGGAAGGUGGGGAUGACUUCAAAUCAUCAUGCCCCUUAUGACCUGGGCUACACACGUGCUACAAUGGACGGUACAAAGAGCUGCAAGACCGCGAGGUGGAGCUAAUCUCAUAAAACCGUUCUCACUUCGGAUUGUAGGCUGCAACUCGCCUACAUGAAUCUGGAAUCACUAGUAUUCGCGGAUCAGCAUGCCGCGGUGAAUACUUUCCCGGGCCUUGUACACACCGCCCGUCACUCCACGAAAGUUUGUAUCACCCGAACUCGGUGGGGUAACCUUUAUGGAGCCAACCGCCUAAGGUGGGACAGAUGAUUGGGGUGAAGUCGUAACAAGGUACCGUAUC